CUAGAGUAUAGGAAAUAACCUACAAAUACUACAUAUGCCACAGACCUUAGACCAUAUCUCUCUUGAUUUACAGCCUUUCAGUACACACCAUCUGCCUGAUUUUGACUAACAAGGGGAGGGAGAAAGGAAGAAGAGUGGACUUGGGGGUUGAAGGAUAAAAUAUUAUAAUUGUUUACAUAUUUUUUAUUUUGAAAACAAAGGCAGUUAGGUUAAUAAAAUUUUCACACUAAUGUUGUUUGUUAACCAUUAAUUAAUCUUGAUGAUAUGCAUGCACUGUACCUCUCAAAAUCACAGUGACAUCUUUCACAGUGCUGCUUUCCAGCAUCUGGUACCAUUGUAAUAAGACACUAUAUGAAACUCCUUUAUUACUAUGGCUAAUGAUAUAAAAAUCUAACAGAUGUCUGAAUGACAAACAUGUAAUCGAAUAAAUCAUACUAUGCUGUGCACUGAUAUGUCUACUGGGAACUGGAAAAAGCAGCAUUUCCUUUGGUCUGGGUUUAUUUUUCCACUGUGGUUCCAGCUGGAAACCAUUGAGGAGGAGCAGCAUGUUGCUUGUAUCCUGAAAAAUCCUACUGAGUCUGCCUUUCUUUGGACUCUGUUUCAGCAUUUUUUAGGAUGGUUUACUGACUUCACUGACUCAUGCUGCCCUCUACAAGGGGUACAGGCAUCUCAGAUCCCUCCACCUGCAGCCUGGUCCUCUGCCCACCACUAUGGGAACCAUGAAGAAAAAAGGUUGAACUUGAGAGCUGGAGAACAGAACUAUCACUGGCCCUCCACACUGGAGUUACAGAAGGAUGAAAGCUGCUGGGAGCAGGACAAGAAAGCAGGACCAUUAAACAUAUGGAAAAAGAGUUACACAUCAACUGGAAAGCUGUUGACUGGGAAUAUUUGAACAUCUGUACUGUUAUCUCCAGUGUCUGUGCAGAAAACAACAUUUCUUCUAACAGCUUCAAUUGCAAAGCUGUGCUUCUUUAUUCCCCUACUAAGUUUUAACCAGGACAGUACUAUGACAGCAUCAAAACCACAGACAAUCCUUUCCUUGUUCCAUUCACAAAGCUAGCCAUUUCCAUCUGGUAUUACCAUUAAUAACCAGAUAAAUCAAAAUAGAACUAUAAGUUUAUAUAUUGGCAGUAAACUUCUACUAACACUAUAUAGUUUAGAACAUGGCUAAAGGAUCAUUGUGACAUAUGUUCCAUUUAUAUCAAUAAAUGCCUAUUUGUUUAUUAAUAGUGAAACUUU
This 1239-nucleotide long non-coding RNA is filed under the name Cyanistes caeruleus (blue tit). RNAcentral's name for it is "lncRNA (ENSCCEG00000015013.1)". Lineage: Eukaryota; Metazoa; Chordata; Aves; Passeriformes; Paridae. The record is from RNAcentral.